UAGAGCUUAGAAAUCAGCAAGUGCACUGGUCUUUUAGAAGAAAUCUGUUUUCUAUUCUAGUUUAUUCCCACAGAACAGAAGACCUGUAAAGGAUUCACUAUCUAAAGUCAGAUUUAAUGGUGUGUCCCCAAGUGUUUUGUUUCCAGUAUAGCAGUCUAGCCUACCUACAGUUCACCUCAGCUUCUGAUCUCUCCACCUCUCAUGCAGGGAUUCCAACACACCCAGUUUCUAUGAUGAUGAGGACCGAAUCCAGGCCUUUUUCACUUUAGCCAGGCAUUCUAUUAACAGAUUUUUUAUCUAUCCCUGUUUCCUCCUAAGUGGUUUUGAUAUUUUUUUGUUUGUUUGUUUUCAGUUUUUGUUUUUUGUGUUGUUGUUGUUGCUUUUGUUUUUCGAGACAGGGUUUCUCUGUGUAGCCCUGGCUGUCCUGGAACUCACUCUGUAGACCAGGCUGGCCUGGAACUCAGAAAUCCGCCUGCCUCUGCCUCCUGAGUGCUGGGAUUAAAGGCGUGCGCCACCACCACCCAGCCUUUUUUCAGUUUUUGGAGCAGGAUCUUCCCUUAUAGCCCAGGCUGAUCUUGAGCUCUUCUGUGCUAGUAUUACAGGCUUACACCAACACAUACGGCUGGAAACAGAAUGUUAAUGGUUGCUAUUAUUGUAGCUUAGUACUACAUGCAGCAAGUACUAAGCAGGAAUUUUUCUGAAGACAUUGUAGGCAGACAACAUAGAAUUGAUACUUAAAUCAGCUUAGAUCCAUCUAGGGUAUGGAGUUUAUUCAACUAAGAGAGGCUGUUACUUUCUAAAGUUAUUGGUUAUUGAAGGAAACAUAUGUUCAGACAUUUGGAAAGUGGCCAGUUUUCCUUUAUACUGAAUGACUGAAUUGAGAAUCAGAAAAUCAGAAAUUUAUAGUAUAUGUUUAGUUAGGUCUUUUUUUUUCUCCAUUUAAGUUAUGAAUGUUCUGUAGUUUGGACUGACAGUCUAGUGCCAUACUGACAUACUAGAAAGCUUGUAAUGAAGGUUUUAGUUCAAAGGUUUAUGUUCACUGAUGGUUUCAAAUAGGGAAUUGGCCAGUUAGUGAUGGUCAUUUUCUAAGGAGGGACAAAUUCAGUUUUUGCUUUGGGGCUGUGCUAAUAGCUAUUAACACUUUAAUAGAAAAAUCUGGAGUUGAGAGCU
RNAcentral lists this long non-coding RNA (1170 nucleotides) under Mus musculus (house mouse). Its description in RNAcentral is "long non-coding RNA chr11:43708835-43710005". Lineage: Eukaryota; Metazoa; Chordata; Mammalia; Rodentia; Muridae. The record is from RNAcentral.